UUCGCAAUGCCCGAAAGGGUGACGAUGCGACGCCGCGCGAGCGAAGAAGGCCCUAGGGUUGUAAAGCUCUGUCGAGGGUUAUGAAAUAUAGAUGGGUUAAUACCCCAUUUAUUUGACAAAAGCCCAAAAGGAAGCCACGGCUAACUCUGUGCCAGCAGCCGCGGUAAUACAGAGGUGGCGAGCGUUGUUCGGUAUUAUUGGGCGUAAAGAGCACGUAGGUGGUUUUGUAAGUCAGGUGUGAAAGCCUUCUGUUCAAAGGAAGAACGGCAUCUGAAACUGCAGAUCUUGAGUGUAGGAGGGGAGAGUGGAACUUCUGGUGGAGCGGUGAAAUGCGUAGAUAUCAGAAGGAACGUCGGCGGCGAAAGCGACUCUCUGGCCUAUUACUGACACUGAGGUGCGAAAGUUAGGGGAGCAAACGGGAUUAGAUACCCCGGUAGUCCUAACCGUAAACGAUGGGCACUAAGUAGAGGGGUUUU
RNAcentral lists this ribosomal RNA (476 nucleotides) under uncultured anaerobic ammonium-oxidizing bacterium. Its description in RNAcentral is "bacterial SSU rRNA". It matches the Rfam family "Bacterial small subunit ribosomal RNA", at positions 365 to 832 of the family's 1533-position model. The record is from RNAcentral.